Molecule: ribosomal RNA, 433 nt
Filed under: uncultured bacterium
Lineage: Bacteria
Description: partial 16S ribosomal RNA
Rfam family: Bacterial small subunit ribosomal RNA
Source: RNAcentral
AACGAACGCUGGCGGCAUGCCUAGCACAUGCAAGUCGAACGAGACCUUCGGGUCUAGUGGCGCACGGGUGCGUAACGCGUGGGAACCUGCCCUUAGGUUCGGAAUAACUCCCCGAAAGGGGUGCUAAUACCGGAUAAUGUCUUCGGACCAAAGAUUUAUCGCCUUUGGAUGGGCCCGCGUUGGAUUAGCUAGUUGGUAGGGUAAAAGCCUACCAAGGCGACGAUCCAUAGCUGGUCUGAGAGGAUGAUCAGCCACACUGGGACUGAGACACGGCCCAGACUCCUACGGGAGGCAGCAGUGGGGAAUAUUGGACAAUGGGCGAAAGCCUGAUCCAGCAAUGCCGCGUGAGUGAUGAAGGCCUUAGGGUUGUAAAGCUCUUUUACCCGGGAUGAUAAUGACAGUACCGGGAGAAUAAGCACCGGCUAACUCCGUG